Molecule: ribosomal RNA, 253 nt
Filed under: uncultured bacterium
Lineage: Bacteria
Description: partial 16S ribosomal RNA
Rfam family: Bacterial small subunit ribosomal RNA
Source: RNAcentral
UACGUAGGGGGCAAGCGUUGCCCGGAAUCAUUGGGCGUAAAGAGCGUGUAGGCGGCCCGGUAAGUCCGCUGUGAAAGUCAAAGGCUCAACCUUUGAAUGUCAGCGGAUACUGCCGGGCUAGAGUCCGGAAGAGGCGAGUGGAAUUCCUGGUGUAGCGGUGGAAUGCGCAGAUAUCAGGAGGAACACCAACGGCGAAGGCAGCUCGCUAGGACGGUACUGACGCUGAGACGCGAAAGCGUGGGGAGCGAACAGG